Molecule: RNA transcript, 1730 nt
Organism: Populus trichocarpa (black cottonwood)
Lineage: Eukaryota; Viridiplantae; Streptophyta; Magnoliopsida; Malpighiales; Salicaceae
Exons: 7
Source: RefSeq, a predicted model, not a curated record
AGGUUAUUUCCACGUUAUCCCAGAACCAACCAAAAGCAGCGAACCUCCGUCAAACCAAAAAAGAAAGCACAAACACAAAGCAGCCUUGAGGGAAAAAAAAACACAAAGCAGCCUUGAAACUAUUCCGAUUUUGUUUGGUUGUUUGAAAAAAAAAAGAGCAAAAAAGAUGGUGUUCUACUUCAAAGCCAGACCAGAGGCAGGAGAUUACACUAUUUUUAUGGGUCUUGACAAGCACGAGAACGAGGAGCUUAUCAAAUAUGGUUUCCCUGAAGACAUCUGGUUUCACGUGGACAAAAUGUCUUCUGCCCAUGUUUAUUUAAGGCUGCAUAAAGGUCAGACCAUCGAUGGUAUAAGUGAAGGUGUACUUGAGGAUUGUGUGCAGCUUGUCAAAGCAAAUUCGAUUCAAGGCAACAAGGUGAACAACAUCGAUGUUGUUUACACUCCAUGGGCCAAUUUGAAGAAAACUGCUUCCAUGGAUGUUGGCCAAGUCGGCUUCCACAAUUCAAAGAUGGUUCGAACUGUGAGAGUGGAAAAGCGGAUAAAUGAGAUAGUUAAUAGAUUGAACAAAACAAAGGUGGAAAGAAAGCCUGAUUUGAAAGCCGAGAGAGAAGCAGUCAAUGCAGCAGAAAGAGCAGAGAGAAAGCUUCAUCUGAGAGAUAAAAAACGACGUGAGGAAAUGGAAAGGCUUGAAAAGGAGAGACAGGCAGAGAUGAGGAGCUACAAGGGUUUGAUGGUGGCUGAAAAGAUGACAUCUAAUAAACAAAUAGCAUCUGAAAACAAGUCCUUGCAGGAGCUGGAAGAUGACUUUAUGUGAAACAACAGUAUCUAAAGGUUCUGCCAUACUGCUGCCCCUUAAAGAAGCGGGCUUGUCAUUCAGUUUGUAACUUCAAGCAUUUUAUGAAUAAACUUAUAAAUUUUGGGAAGGGAAUGUUUAAUGCCGAGCAGAGGGAGGAGAGUGGUGGGUUGAGGUUGAUGGAUGGGGAAUUACCUGUCUGAUGUCAUCAUCAAGCCUUCAGAUUUUUGGUUUUUUUCAGGUCAGCCAUUUGCUGACUGAUUCACACAGAAUGCUCCACGGUCUGAUGUGGUGUAUUCAGGUCAUGGGCAUAUCCUUUCCGUUUCACAAAUUGAAAAGUGGAUAUUGAAUUAGAUGGAUUCUUUGUGACUUGCUUACCAGUGCAUCUUAGAAAACUACUAACUAUGAAGUUAUGGAAAGUUUGACGAGCAAGAAAACGAGGGUUAUCACGCCAUAUUUUUCAAUUGCUAGACAUGAGUAAUCAAUUCUUUUGGAAAAUCUGUAUGCAUAGUUUCCUGUGAUCUGGAGGGUUGUUUUAUCAUCAUGAGAGCUGACCAUGUCUGCAGAGUUACCAGGUGCAUCAUGGCUAACCCCAUCCGUCCCCGUGAGAACUGAGUCUAUCUCGAGAUCCAUGCAAUUAGUGAAAUGCAAAGCUUAGUUCAUAAAUGUUCAAUACAGGCAAAAGCAAUGAGAUUCCUUCUAUCUGUACCUUCGGUAUUUUCAGAAGGAGAGCGCAGGUAGAAAAGGACACUUCCAGUUGCUGCUGUUUCGACUUCAAAUUCAGACACAAGAAAGAAACCGUACACUCUGCAACCUGAUCUGGAUUUCCCUUGUGACAGGAGAUGGAAUUUUUGUUAGGGAAAGUACUAGAUUGGUAAAAUAUUUAUGUGUUGCAAUUGCUUUUUUUUUAAGAAAAAAAACUUAAUAAUUGAGGUUA